RNAcentral lists this ribosomal RNA (253 nucleotides) under uncultured bacterium. RNAcentral describes it as "partial 16S ribosomal RNA". It matches the Rfam family "Bacterial small subunit ribosomal RNA", at positions 524 to 776 of the family's 1533-position model. The record is from RNAcentral.
UACGUAGGGUGCAAGCGUUGUCCGGAAUUAUUGGGCGUAAAGAGCUCGUAGGCGGUUUGUCGCGUCUGCUGUGAAAAUCCAGGGCUUAACCCUGGACCUGCAGUGGGUACGGGCAGACUGGAGUGCGGUAGGGGAGAUCGGAAUUCCUGGUGUAGCGGUGAAAUGCGCAGAUAUCAGGAGGAACACCAAUUGCGAAGGCAGCUCGCUGGGACGUUACUGACGCUGAGACGCGAAAGCGUGGGGAGCAAACAGG